This is an RNA transcript of Malurus melanocephalus (red-backed fairy wren), 1917 nucleotides long. It is a transcript of the gene named protein phosphatase 1 regulatory inhibitor subunit 2, with no coding region annotated. The record is from RefSeq and is a predicted model, not a curated record. The transcript is spliced from 8 exons. Lineage: Eukaryota; Metazoa; Chordata; Aves; Passeriformes; Maluridae.
GGCGGUGGCGGCGGCCGCGGCGGAACCGGGCGGGCGGCGCGGCCAUGGAAGCGCCCUCCGUGCCCUCGGUACCGGACGCCUCGGCGUCCGGGCGGGGGCCCAUCAAGGGCAUCCUGAAGAAGAGCGGUAGCAAGGCAUCRCCAGGAGCGGCCGUUGGGGCGCGACAAACCAGCCAGGCCUGCGAAGAGGACGAGCACGGUAAAAAAUCACAGAAAUGGGAUGAAAUGAACAUCAUAGCUACAUACCACCCUGCGGGCAAAGAUUAUGGCUUGAUGAAAAUUGAUGAGCCAAGUACUCCUUACCACAGCAUGAUAGGAGAAGAUGAUGAGGAUGCAGUGAGUGAUUCAGAAUACGAGCCCUUAAGAGCAGAUGUGUUGAGUAAAAAACUGGCUGCUGCAGCUGAAGGUAGAGGACCCAGGAUUAUAGCAAGGCAAGAAGAAAGUAGUGAGGAGGAGGAAGAYGAUGAAGAAUUAACACCUGAAGAACGGGAGAAAAAGAAACAGUUUGAAAUGAAGAGAAAAAUGCACUACAAUGAAGGAAGAAACAUCAAACUGGCAAGGCAGCUCAUUGCAAAAGAACUCCAAGGUGAGGAAGAGGAAGAUGAUGAGGAUGAAGAGAUGCGUGAUGCUGCAGAUGUAGAAACAAUGAAUACAGAAGCUACCGAAAACGGGGAAAGGAGGGCUCCAGGAGCCAAACGUAUGACCCUUCUGCAUGGCCUGAAGCUGCCAUCUCUCUGCACUCUGCUGUAAAACAGAGGCAACUCCGCUCCCCAGCUGCAUUCGCCAGUGGAAAGAAGGCAGACCUUUGCAGCAUUUUUCCAUCUCUAUUGUUGAAGUCCAUUCCACCUUCCUCAUAACCAGCUUCAGAGCCACAACUGACUGAGAUCUCUUGCUGAUUGAAACGAAGAUGGCCAGUCCAGUCAGUGAUGCACAUGUUACUCGUGACCAGCUGGAAAAUAGAGCACACAGCAUAGAAGAAAUCUGUCCAGAACUGUAACUGCUUGUCAAAAACACAAAUAUAAACAUCGCUUCAUGAUUUUUGCGACUAAGGCUCUUAAAUAUUAAGAAGCAUAUCAGUUACAAUGUUGUAUUGCCAAGAAUGUUAAUUUUAGACUUGUCGAUUAGGCAGAMAAUACUGUCUAAUUGAUUUAUUCUUGUGCCUAGUAUUUAAUGGAGAAUACUGCUUCAUAAUCUGUUCAACCAGAAUGGCAUUCCCUGUAUGUAUAGCGCUGAUUAUCUUGCGUGAUGUACUGUUACUUUUGCUUUGAAACACUCACUAUCUUUUGGUUUAUCACUAUUUAUUUGAGUGUUCUACAUGUGGUGUCUCAUAUGGAAAGUUUUGGGAUUCAAGAGCCAAACGGUACAGCAUAUAUCAGAUUGACAUGCAAGCUAUUUAUCAGAUGUGUUAAGCAGUUUAAAAAGGGAUUAUUUAAGUCCUGCAACUUUUUUUUUGUAAAGUGUUGACCUGUUAAUCUAGAUUUCAGUAUGUUUUUACCUGCACUUUCCCAGUCUUUAGAACAAGAGCUGUGUUAUUUUUGAAGAGCGGUGUUUGGAAUCGGUUGUUAGUCUCCGACUAAAGCAGUACAACAUCUGGUGGAGUUUUUACACUGGAAACAGCUAACUUGAACUUUGCAUUUAACUGUCUUAACCUCUUCCAUCAGGACUGGUUGUUUUGUGGAGCUCUCUUUAGCUUGUUGUGAGAAYGUGCAAGUUUCCUCCAGCUUUUCUCUUAAAAUCACUGUUACUCUUCUGGCUCUAGUUUCAAACGUUUGGUUCUUUCCAGUUGCAUGAACAGUGUUUGUGCUGUUAGCACCUGAGGAAAAACACCCAGCCACGAGGAAAUACACAUCAGGACUGUGAAGAUGUGCUGAGCUUAGGCUCUGGCUGUUCUUUAUUAAAAAUAACUGAUGUUGAUGUA